This 2486-nucleotide long non-coding RNA is filed under the name Eucalyptus grandis. RNAcentral describes it as "long non-coding RNA (EGRA_LNC002407)". Lineage: Eukaryota; Viridiplantae; Streptophyta; Magnoliopsida; Myrtales; Myrtaceae. The record is from RNAcentral.
AGGACAAUGUAUCGCCGACCCUUUCUUUUAUUAAGUACAUGCGGAAGCAGUUAAAAUCCCCAGACAAUAAAACGAUGGGAUAGAAAAGCAAGGCCAUAUUUUUCAUAUUGAAAUUUAUAACCCAACUUUUAUACAAAACACAAACCAUAACACUUCACAACUUUUUAUUCUAAACUCUAUUCACAUCAAAAUGGAGAUAUCAAAGAAGAUAACAUCUCAGUCCACCUGGGCCGUCCUCAAGGCCCUUCUCAGGAUUAUCUUCUUCUUCCAAAAAUCCUUUUCUUCAGAUCUCACCUCCGAGUUCUCCUUCUCGGAUUCCUCCUCCUCAGCUCUUCAGCGGGGUCCUGAAAUGGUUUCCCCAAACUGGGAUGAGACUACGUCUCAGCGAGUUCUACCCCACUAAGCCCGAUUAGAAAACUAUUAUACUAAACGCUGCCUAAACACGCAUAGGGCAGAUGACUUACCUUGGCCUCUGAUCCUACCUGCAAGUCAGUACAAUUCACAAUAAACAGUCAUUUGCUUCCAACAAAUUGAACUAGUCGAUUACAUGUCAUACAAUUCAAUAUCCCCACUGUGGGAUAUUUAAAAGCUAGGCCACGUGUAUUCUCCAGGACGACCUUCCAAGUCUCCGAGUUCACGUGCCUCGAACCUUGGGCCCACGUGCAUUCUCUCAGGCGACCUUUUCGCCAAAGUGAUGCAUCAAGUCACCGAGACCACGUGCCCUUUUAGAUGCCUGUACUUAGUCACAGAGCUCCAUCAAUGCUCUCGGGCGACGAUUCGCCAAGGUGACGUACAGUGAACACUUUACUAUGCUCUCGGGCGUCUUUUUCGCCAUGGUGAUACACUGAUCACAGAGCCAACAUAAACAAUUCAAUAUGCUCUCGGGCGUCUUUUUCGCCGUGGUGAUACACUGAUCACAGAGCCAACAUAAACAAUUCAAUAUGCUCUCAGGCGAGCCAACAUACACAAUUCAAUAUGCUCUCGGGCGUCUUUUUCGCCGUGGUGAUACACUGAUCACAGAGCCAACAUACACAAUUCAAUAUGCUCUCGGGCGUCUUUUUCGCCGUGGUGAUACACUGAUCACAGAGCCAACAUAAACAAUUCAAUAUAAUCAACCACUAAACUCACGUGCAUUUUCCAGGUGAUAUUCCAAUACCCAACGAUUUCUCAAUCAAUUAAUUAAAUCAACUCAACAUAGCAUUAUCAAUGCUAGAUAACAUACUUGGCCAAUUCAAUCUCAAUCAAUUCCAAUCAAAUUAGGGUAAACCCUAAAAUAUCUCAAUUUAUUCAAUUCCAUACAACGUGGAGCUCAAAUAAAUAAACGGGCUACGCCACGACGAUCAGCAUGAGAGUUCGGUUGUCGGCCAUCAAAAUCUUAAUUUCCGAAAAAUAAAUAAUUAAUUAUUAAUUUCGAAAAUUAAUUAAUUACUAUUAAAAAUUCAAUUUAGCUCAAAAUAAAGCCCGAUUAAAUAAACGGACUUCACCACGCUCAUCAGCAUAAUUUUCCGGUUCCAUAUCAUCUCAGUUGAAUUUUCGAAAAAUAAUUAAUUAAUUAAUUAAUUUCGAAUAUUAAAUAAUUAAUAUUAAAAAUCCCAUUUAGCUCAAAUUAAAGCCCGAUUAAAUAAACGAACUUCACCACAUUCAUCAGCACAAUACUCCGGUUCCGAACCAUCUCCCUUGAAUUUUCGGAAAAUAAAUAAUUAUUAAAUUUAAUUUCGAAAAUUAAUAUUUAAAUACUAAAAAUAUCCACUUAGGCCCGAAAAGCCUAAUUGGAGCCCACUAAGGGUCGGGAAAAUUCCCGAAGCACUUCCAAUAAUUAGUAGACCACGUCUACUUGCUAAUUACACAAUCAAUUUAUCUAAAUCACAUCACAAUUGACUAAUAAUUGCUAAUUUAUUCUAAUCUAACAACCUAAACAUAAUUAAUUAAAUCUAAACCAGCUUAAAGCAUAAUUAACCACUAAUCCUGGAUUAGUGAGAUUACUCACCAAAUCGCGCGCAAAUCGGAUCAAUCCGACGGCGGCGACGCGAGGAACGAUUGUUCCCAAAGCACGGCUCGGGUUCGGAGCCGGGAAACGGUCCAAAAGCGGGCCCGAAGGUGCUGAAACCCACUCCGUGGGUCUUGCUGGUCGCGGCUGAACGGAGCAGCUCCGGCGGCUAGGGCGGCGGGGGAAGGCCGGCGGAGGGCGAGGGGGUCACCGGGGGUGGUCCGGCGGGGUUGGCGGUGGCCGGAGGUGGCCGGAGAUGGGCUGGUCGGUGCAGAACAGUAGCUGGGUCAGCUGGAUCGCGCGGAGGGAGGAGCGGCAGCGAGCGACGGACGGCGGGACGGCGACGGGCGCGCGGGCGCGGCGCGGCGGUGCGGCGGUGCGGUGGUGCGGCGAGCGGGAUGAGCGGCGAGCUGCUGUCCUUCCUCCGUUUCUGGUUUCCGCGAAGAAGAAGAAGGAAGAAAAGAGGGGUUCGGUCGCGUGGGGAAGAAAGAAGAAAGAG